Molecule: transfer RNA, 73 nt
Filed under: Pelodiscus sinensis (Chinese soft-shelled turtle)
Lineage: Eukaryota; Metazoa; Chordata; Testudines; Trionychidae
Rfam family: tRNA
About the family: Transfer RNA (tRNA) molecules are approximately 80 nucleotides in length. Their secondary structure includes four short double-helical elements and three loops (D, anti-codon, and T loops). Further hydrogen bonds mediate the characteristic L-shaped molecular structure. tRNAs have two regions of fundamental functional importance: the anti-codon, which is responsible for specific mRNA codon recognition, and the 3' end, to which the tRNAs corresponding amino acid is attached (by aminoacyl-tRNA synthetases). tRNAs cope with the degeneracy of the genetic code in two manners: having more than one tRNA (with a specific anti-codon) for a particular amino acid; and 'wobble' base-pairing, i.e. permitting non-standard base-pairing at the 3rd anti-codon position.
Source: Rfam by way of RNAcentral
UACUGUGUAGCCUAAAAGCUAAGGUAUCUUAGUUUGGGUCAGAAGACUGAGGGUUUGAGUCCCUUUGCAGUUG